This 433-nucleotide ribosomal RNA is filed under the name uncultured bacterium. RNAcentral describes it as "partial 16S ribosomal RNA". It matches the Rfam family "Bacterial small subunit ribosomal RNA", at positions 29 to 507 of the family's 1533-position model. The record is from RNAcentral.
AACGAACGCUGGCGGCAUGCCUAACACAUGCAAGUCGAACGAGACCUUCGGGUCUAGUGGCGCACGGGUGCGUACCGCGUGGGAACCUGCCCUUAGGUUCGGAAUAACUCCCCGAAAGGGGUGCUAAUACCGGAUAAUGUCUUCGGACCAAAGAUUUAUCGCUUUUGGAUGGGCCCGCGUUGGAUUAGCUAGUUGGUAGGGUAAAAGCCUACCAAGGCGACGAUCCAUAGCUGGUCUGAGAGGAUGAUCAGCCACACUGGGACUGAGACACGGCCCAGACUCCUACGGGAGGCAGCAGUGGGGAAUAUUGGACAAUGGGCGAAAGCCUGAUCCAGCAAUGCCGCGUGAGUGAUGAAGGCCUUAGGGUUGUAAAGCUCUUUUACCCGGGAUGAUAAUGACAGUACCGGGAGAAUAAGCUCCGGCUAACUCCGUG